This 311-nucleotide signal recognition particle RNA is filed under the name Archaeoglobus sp. Its description in RNAcentral is "signal recognition particle sRNA". It matches the Rfam family "Archaeal signal recognition particle RNA". Lineage: Archaea; Methanobacteriati; Methanobacteriota; Archaeoglobi; Archaeoglobales; Archaeoglobaceae. The record is from RNAcentral. RNAcentral also lists the same sequence under 1 other name.
UGGCGGGCUAGGCCGGGGGGUUCGGCGUCCCCUGUAACCCGAAACCGUCGAUAGGCGGGGGCCGAAGCCGAGGGAAGGCUUGCUAAACGGAUGCGAACCUCCUAGAGCAUCGUAGAGUCCCCGUCCCGGAGGACCGGCGGUUGUGGGUGGCUUUCCGGAGGGAAUGUCACCCACAUUUGCCGGGGGAACCGGCCUAGGCCCGGAAGGGAGCAGGCUAACCCCGGACGAUCGGUGCUUUCGGGGUAGCGGGGAGGAGAUGCUCUAGGAAGGCUAGUAUCCGGUAGGCAAGUCGACCCAAGGCAUGCCCGCCA